This is a transfer RNA of Pontibacillus marinus BH030004 = DSM 16465, 55 nucleotides long. It matches the Rfam family "tRNA", at positions 1 to 52 of the family's 71-position model. Rfam says of the family: Transfer RNA (tRNA) molecules are approximately 80 nucleotides in length. Their secondary structure includes four short double-helical elements and three loops (D, anti-codon, and T loops). NCBI's taxonomy places the organism in Bacteria, Bacillati, Bacillota, Bacilli, Caryophanales, Bacillaceae. The record is from Rfam.
CGGGAAGUAGCUCAGCUUGGUAGAGCACAUGGUUUGGGACCAUGGGGUCGCAGGU